This 597-nucleotide long non-coding RNA is filed under the name Homo sapiens (human). Its description in RNAcentral is "HSALNT0062135". Lineage: Eukaryota; Metazoa; Chordata; Mammalia; Primates; Hominidae. The record is from RNAcentral.
GCUGGGUAUAUGUUGCUGAGAUAGCUUUUCCCAGCACACUCACGGAAGGAUGGGGUUGUGUAAACAUGAUGACUAUAGCAAAACACCAAUAGGGAGGGAUGAUGGGAAAGCCAAACACAGGUCAGGUCAGUAAAGGAAGCACAAGUCCAGGGGCCAGUUCACUCUUCUACCUGAAGCAGAGACAGCACCAGGCGACCUGGAAGCAUACUUCUGGUAGCAAUGGGGACACGGGUCAAAGGGGACUUGAGGUUAUCAGCUUUCAGAAUGAAGACACAUAAUCCCUAUUAGAGUGGAAGACUUAAAAUCGAGUUUGAGACCCACCUUCUGAAACUGCAGGCUCUUGGGAGCCUGAUUUCCGGUGAAGAGUGUUGCUGCUUUGCAUUUUUCACACUUGAACACAGUGAAGAAGAUGAACAUUAAUUAGGAUUAUAGUGCCAUGGAGGCUUACUGUGCUGUGAGAACUCACAAGAAAUAAAAUGCCAUUUCUUUUUUUGGAUGCAAUUCUGAGUGUCAUGUAUGUAUUAGUUCUUGGGCCCAAGCCAAGUUACUUUAGGGGUGAUAUACAAUCUGUUAUUUUUAGAUCAUAUUGGGUAAGGG